Molecule: ribosomal RNA, 277 nt
Filed under: uncultured bacterium
Lineage: Bacteria
Description: partial 16S ribosomal RNA
Rfam family: Bacterial small subunit ribosomal RNA
Source: RNAcentral
GACGAACGCUGGCGGCGUGCUUAACACAUGCAAGUGGAGCGACGAACCAGGGCUUGCCCUGGGGCAGAGCCGCGAACGGGUGAGUAACACGUGGGUGACCUGCCCCGAUGAUUGGGACAACCCGAGGAAACUCGGGCUAAUACCAAAUGUGCUCAUGGACUUAGAAGACCAUGAGGAAAGGAAGCUUCGGCCUCCGCAUCGGGAUGGGCCCGCGGCCCAUUAGCUUGUUGGUGAGGUAACGGCUCACCAAGGCUUCGAUGGGUAGCUGGUCUGAGAG